CUGCUAGUCGUGCGCUAUCCAGCCAUGUGGGUGGCGCGGCAGACAGCUCAGUAACACGUGGCUAACCUGCCCUUGGGAGGGGUGCAACCCCGGGAAACUGGGGCUAAUCCCCCAUAGGUGAAGAACUCUGGAAUGAGUUUUUGCUCAAAAGGCUUCGGAUCAUGCUUUCGGAGUCGCCCAAGGAUGGGGCCGCGACCGAUCAGGUUGUUGGUGAGGUAAUGGCCCACCAAGCCUUUUACCGGUGCGGGCCGUGAGAGCGGGAGCCCGGAGAUGGGCACUGAGACAAGGGCCCAGGUCCUACGGGGCGCAGCAGUCGCGAAACCUUUGCAAUACACGAAAGUGUGACAGGGUCAUCCCGAGUGCCGACCGCUGAGGUUGGCUUUUACCCAGUCUAGAAAGCUGGGGGAAUAAGGAGAGGGCAAGUCUGGUGUCAGCCGCCGCGGUAAUACCAGCUCUCCGAGUGGUGUGGACGUUUAUUGGGCCUAAAGCAUCCGUAGCUGGCUGAACAAGUCCCCUGUUAAACCCACCGAUUUAAUCGAUGGUCUGCGGGGGAUACUGCUCGGCUAGGGGACGAGAGAGGCAGACGGUAUUCCCGGGGUAGGGGUGAAAUCCUAUAAUCCCGAGAAGACCACCAGUGGCGAAGGCUGUCUGCUAGAACGCGCCCGACGGUGAGGGAUGAAAGCUGGGGGAGCGAACCGGAUUAGAUACCCGGGUAGUCCCAGCUGUAAACGAUGCAGACUAGGUGUUUGGACGGCCACGUGCCGUUCUAGUGCCGCAGGGAAGCUGUUAAGUCUGCCGCCUGGGGAGUACGAUCGCAAGAUUGAAACUUAAAGGAAUUGGCGGGGGAGCACCACAAGGGGUGAAGCUUGCGGUUUAAUUGGAUUCAACGCCGGG
RNAcentral lists this ribosomal RNA (894 nucleotides) under uncultured archaeon. RNAcentral describes it as "bacterial SSU rRNA". It matches the Rfam family "Archaeal small subunit ribosomal RNA", at positions 51 to 922 of the family's 1478-position model. The record is from RNAcentral.